ACCGCACGGAGCCACCAGCGAACAGCCUGAGCAAGAGCUAAAGUAAACACGGAUGUCCGGCCCGACUUUCAAAAUAAGAGCCCGAAAUUAAGAAAAUUACUUCGUUCUCCACUAUGAAGAUUAAACGUGCACUCUGUCGCCAUCUGGUGGAAGGUGUAGAAAUAAAACAAUUUGCAGCAAUUUGAAAGAGUUUUUCUCCAUCAUCGUCAUCAUAAACAACAAACAGAAAGAAAAUACUUUAUUUUCAGAAUACAGGCGCAACGAUUUGGAUAAACUGUUGUGAAAGUUCGAAUUAGAAAAAAA
Molecule: long non-coding RNA, 303 nt
Organism: Xiphophorus hellerii (green swordtail)
Lineage: Eukaryota; Metazoa; Chordata; Actinopteri; Cyprinodontiformes; Poeciliidae
Exons: 2
Source: RefSeq, a predicted model, not a curated record